RNAcentral lists this transfer RNA (102 nucleotides) under Candidatus Woesearchaeota archaeon. RNAcentral describes it as "tRNA-Gly". It matches the Rfam family "tRNA". Rfam says of the family: Transfer RNA (tRNA) molecules are approximately 80 nucleotides in length. Their secondary structure includes four short double-helical elements and three loops (D, anti-codon, and T loops). The record is from RNAcentral. Lineage: Archaea; Nanobdellati; Candidatus Woesearchaeota.
GCACUAGUAGUCUAAUGGCUAGGAGUUACCCUACUUUUGUAAGGGACUAGUAAAUAGAAGCCUUCCAAGCUUCUGGUCGGGGUUCGAAUCCCCGCUAGUGCA